RNAcentral lists this ribosomal RNA (238 nucleotides) under uncultured Actinomycetales bacterium. RNAcentral describes it as "partial 16S ribosomal RNA". It matches the Rfam family "Bacterial small subunit ribosomal RNA", at positions 92 to 334 of the family's 1533-position model. Lineage: Bacteria; Bacillati; Actinomycetota; Actinomycetes; Actinomycetales. The record is from RNAcentral.
CGAGUGGCGAACGGGUGAGUAACACGUGGGUGAUCUGCCCUGCACUUCGGGAUAAGCCUGGGAAACUGGGUCUAAUACCGGAUAGGAGCCAUCUUUAGUGUGAUGGUUGGAAAGUUUUUCGGUGUAGGAUGAGCUCGCGGCCAAUCAGCUUGUUGGUGGGGUAAUGGCCUACCAAGGCGGCGACGGGUAGCCGGCCUGAGAGGGUGGACGGCCACAUUGGGACUGAGAUACGGCCCAG